RNAcentral lists this ribosomal RNA (700 nucleotides) under Pseudoperonospora cubensis. Its description in RNAcentral is "LSU rRNA". It matches the Rfam family "Eukaryotic large subunit ribosomal RNA", at positions 442 to 1095 of the family's 3401-position model. The record is from RNAcentral. Lineage: Eukaryota; Oomycota; Peronosporomycetes; Peronosporales; Peronosporaceae.
CGAGGAGGUAGGGCUUACGCUCGCGUUUGUCUGUUAUAUCUUGGUGGACGAGUUGUCGCGGUUGGGACUGAGGUGCCUACAACGUGCUUUUGAGUGAGUUUGUGUCUCCGUGUGCGCCGUGUGCGGAUAGCUUGCUAUGUAUGUGCGGUUGUGUGUGGAUUGAUGCGGGCUUUAACUUGUCGCCGUUCGGGACGUUGGCGAAAUGGAGCGAUCCGACCCGUCUUGAAACACGGACCAAGGAGUCUAACAUGUGUGCAAGUGUUAGGGUGUGGAAACCCCAGCGCGAAAUGAAAGUGAAGGGCAGCGCAAGUUGUCUGAGGUAGGAAACGUUGUGGACUUCGGUCUGCGGCGUGGCACUAUCGACCGAUCAUGAACCUUCGUGGUGAAAGAUUUGAGUUUGAGCACAUAUGUUGGUACCCGAAAGAUGGUGAACUAUGCCUGAGUAGGGUGAAGCCAGGGGAAACUCUGGUGGAAGCUCGUAGCGAUUCUGACGUGCAAAUCGAUCGUCAAACUUGGGUAUAGGGGCGAAAGACUAAUCGAACCAUCUAGUAGCUGGUUCCCUCCGAAAUUUCCCUCAGGAUAGCAGCAACUUAUUUACGAUAGUUUUAUGAGGUAAAGCGAAUGAUUAGAGGAUUCGGGGAAGAAACUUCCUCGACCUAUUCUCAAACUUUAAAUCUGUAAGACCUGCAGGUUUCUUAAU